UGGGGUGUAGCCAAGUGGAAAGGCAGUCGCUUUUGAUGCGACCAUUCGGAGGUUCGAACCCUUCCACCCCAG
Non-coding RNA from Ostreococcus tauri, 72 nucleotides. Lineage: Eukaryota; Viridiplantae; Chlorophyta; Mamiellophyceae; Mamiellales; Bathycoccaceae. The record is from Rfam.